UACGGAGGGUGCAGGCGUUAUCCGGAUUCACUGGGUUUAAAGGGUGCGUAGGUGGGCAGUUAAGUCAGUGGUGAAAUCUCCGGGCUCAACCCGGAAACUGCCAUUGAUACUAUCUGUCUUGAAUAUCGUGGAGGUAAGCGGAAUAUGUCAUGUAGCGGUGAAAUGCUUAGAUAUGACAUAGAACACCAAGUGCGAAGGCAGCUUACUGCCCGAAUAUUGACACUGAGGCACGAAAGCGUGGGGAUCAAACAGG
Molecule: ribosomal RNA, 253 nt
Filed under: uncultured bacterium
Lineage: Bacteria
Description: partial 16S ribosomal RNA
Rfam family: Bacterial small subunit ribosomal RNA
Source: RNAcentral